ACCUGACUGCUAUCGGAUUGAUACUAAGCCAUGCGAGUCAUUGUAGCAAUACAAGGCAUACGGCUCAGUAACGCGUAGUCAACCUAACCUAUGGACGGGAAUAACCUCGGGAAACUGAGAAUAAUGCCCGAUAGAACAUUAUGCCUGGAAUGGUUUAUGUUCCAAAUGAUUUAUCGCCGUAGGAUGGGACUGCGGCCUAUCAGUUUGUUGGUGAGGUAAUGGCCCACCAAGACUAUUACAGGUACGGGCUCUGAGAGGAGUAGCCCGGAGAUGGGUACUGAGACACGGACCCAGGCCCUAUGGGGCGCAGCAGGCGAGAAAACUUUGCAAUGUGCGAAAGCACGACAAGGUUAAUCCGAGUGGUUUCUGCUAAAGAAACCUUUUGUCAGUCCUAGAAACACUAACGAAUAAGGGGUGGGCAAGUUCUGGUGUCAGCCGCCGCGGUAAAACCAGCACCUCAAGUGGUCAGGAUGAUUAUUGGGCCUAAAGCAUCCGUAGCCGGCUCUGUAAGUUUUCGGUUAAAUCUGUACGCUCAACGUACAGGCUGCCGGGAAUACUGCAGAGCUAGGGAGUGGGAGAGGUAGACGGUACUCGGUAGGAAGUGGUAAAAUGCUUUGAUCUAUCGAUGACCACCUGUGGCGAAGGCGGUCUACCAGAACACGUCCGACGGUGAGGGAUGAAAGCUGGGGGAGCAAACCGGAUUAGAUACCCGGGUAGUCCCAGCUGUAAACUAUGCAAACUCAGUGAUGCAUUGGCUUGUGGCCAAUGCAGUGCUGCAGGGAAGCCGUUAAGUUUGCCGCCUGGGAAGUACGUACGCAAGUAUGAAACUUAAAGGAAUUGGCGGGGGAGCACCACAAGGGGUGAAGCCUGCGGUUCAAUUGGAUUCAACGCCGGAAAU
Molecule: ribosomal RNA, 898 nt
Filed under: uncultured marine archaeon
Lineage: Archaea
Description: bacterial SSU rRNA
Rfam family: Archaeal small subunit ribosomal RNA
Source: RNAcentral